This 516-nucleotide long non-coding RNA is filed under the name Solanum tuberosum (potato). RNAcentral's name for it is "long non-coding RNA (STUB_LNC005917)". The record is from RNAcentral. Lineage: Eukaryota; Viridiplantae; Streptophyta; Magnoliopsida; Solanales; Solanaceae.
CCGGGAGGUUUCAUGUGUUACAAUAUGUGAUAUUGAAAUACAAAAUAAGCAAAAUAAAAUACAAAAUGUGUUGUCAUUUGUGUUCUGAGUGGUCGAUGAUUGUGAGGCUGGUGGAAAGAAGCACCAACGAUGCUACCAUUCCGCCGACACUGGUUAAUAGCAAUGGCCGACGACCAGAUUUGUCAAUCAGAUCUGUAGUUCUAUUCUAUACUUGAGGAAGGUUUUGCAUGCUGUUAGGGUCAUGUAUAUGCUUGGAUCUUCUCUCUUCAUCCAUUUUAGUCGUCGUGCCUACAUUAUCCAAUAGUCCUUGAGUAAUACAUAGAUCAAAAGAUGGAAAAUCACUAGAAAAUUAAUGAAUAAGUGGGAUACCUCUUGUAAUCUCUUAGAGUCGGCCAUUAGAGAGGAUCUUUGAGGUUUUCCUUAUCCAAAAUCCUAAUCGAAAUUAGUGAAUUUACUAAGCAACUAAACAAAUAAAUUUUUUGAAAGGUUUAAACAAAACAAAAUCAGUAAACAAAC